GAUGUGGUAAUGCUAACUGUUCAUUCCCCCCUUAUAGUUGCCCCCCUGAAUGGAAAGGAGAUUUUUGCGAGACCAGUGUUUUUGGUGUAGUCACAACCUCAGUUGCUAUUGCUCUUGGAGUUACAGCUGUUAUAGCUCUUUUCCUGGUCUGCCUGAUAUACUCUGCAAAAAAGAAGGAGAAAAUUAUGAACACUCUGCAUAACAUUAAUCUGCCUAUUAGUGUAUCUAACAACAGUAGGCCCAGCUUCUGGGGUGGUAACUCUGAACGUUUUAACAACCCAUCUGAAUCGGAGAAUGACAGCAGCAACUUUCCGAAAGAGGAAUCCAGCACAUCAGUAGAAGUGGAGGGAAAAGGAAGGAGUUUUGAGAACCCAGCAUACAGUGAGGAUGCGCAGGGAUCUCCUGCUGCACCUACUGCUGUAGCCACUACAGUCAUGAAUGGGCCUGCCAAAGAGAGUGUUGAAAACCCAAUGUAUGCUGCUGAGUUGACCUUUGUGACCCAGCCAAUUGAUGGUGCAACCCCUGUCAAAGCAGAUGCCACACCAGUCAACACUGAACCUGACAAGGCUGAUACUUCACAGCUACAGAACGAGGUGGAUAUGCAUGAUAUGUUCGACAAUCCCUUAUAUAUGGAUGCACCACAAACACACAGCCAGGGAGAAUCUACAAUCUGAAGACAAUUUGAGAGCAUCUUACAGGAUCGGCUCUCAAUCACUUCAGCAGCUAAGGUGUAUGGCUGGUAAAUUAUGGCUGCAGAAUACCAUCCAUCUACUCGGAUGUGAUUUAGGUUUCUAUUUACUGGGAGUUACAACAAAGUUUUGGACAACACACAUGCCAUAAAAUGUGAAUAGUUUUGUUGAUUGUUCUUUUUAUUAUAUUUUUAUAGAUAAAGAUUUGCACUUCUUGCACUUUGAGAUUCUUCAGACGACUGUAAAUUGUUGCAAUGAUUCAAUUUAAUUGGCAUAUUCACUCUUUGAAUGUUUUAGUGUAUGCUUUUAGUAUGUGUAUGAUUAAC
This 1015-nucleotide long non-coding RNA is filed under the name Sinocyclocheilus grahami. RNAcentral describes it as "lncRNA (ENSSGRG00000016158.1)". Lineage: Eukaryota; Metazoa; Chordata; Actinopteri; Cypriniformes; Cyprinidae. The record is from RNAcentral.